This 69-nucleotide transfer RNA is filed under the name Rattus norvegicus (Norway rat). It matches the Rfam family "tRNA". From Rfam's summary of the family: Transfer RNA (tRNA) molecules are approximately 80 nucleotides in length. The record is from Rfam by way of RNAcentral. Lineage: Eukaryota; Metazoa; Chordata; Mammalia; Rodentia; Muridae.
GGGGAUUUAGCUUAGUGGUAGAGCGCUUGCCUAGGAAGCGCAAGGCCCUGGGUUCGGUUCCCAGCUCCA